RNAcentral lists this long non-coding RNA (1437 nucleotides) under Felis catus (domestic cat). Its description in RNAcentral is "lncRNA (ENSFCAG00000046443.2)". The record is from RNAcentral. Lineage: Eukaryota; Metazoa; Chordata; Mammalia; Carnivora; Felidae.
CAUAAAACAAACGGUCAGACUUUGGGUCGGGGCUGUUUCUAGUAAAAGGGAGUUCCCGUUGUCUUAACUCACCCGGGAUUGUUUGCCGCGAGAGGCAGCCGUUUAAUCUGAAACACAGACAGAAAUAAACUGCGGCCGUGGGUCCCCGCCUGCCUGGGCUGAGCCCGACUUUGACAUUCUAAGCGCUGUGAGUACCGAGUGGCCUGGAUGGCUUGAGGCCAAACGGUAAUGUUUCCUUCUGCUGUUGUUGAGAAAGGCAUUCAGGAAAACACUUGAGCACAAUACGGGCCUUCCUGUUCCGCCAGGCGGGCCUGCGAACCACCCUGCAAACGUGGAGCCAGUGAAUCAUCCCUGAGAAAGGGGAGCUUCCCUCUCCUCUGUCGGAGGCCUUCUCCACGGCAGCCCCGGGCACGCUGCCACGCCGUGGACCCAACGAGCCCCCGUUUUCAAGAACCCAUCUGCCACCUCCCCCGCACCGUGGGAUUCGCCCCACUCGCAAAGUCCGGGUUUCUGCCGGGAAAUGUCACCCACGUGUUUCUCGCUCGGGAAAGGCAUCGGCCGCGAUGCAGCCGAAAUCCUAAGGGGUGCACGGUGGCGUCCUGCUGCAAGCGAUGGAACGUAGAAAGAUGUCAGACGGUCAGUGGUUGGUUGAAGCUCUCUCUCUCGGUCUCCAUCUCUCCCUCUCUCUUCCACCGCCCCGUUCUUCCUCUCUUCCUCCACCCCCCGCCCCCUCCCAUCCCAUCUCUGGGACAGGGGCAUCAUUUUCAGCCGGGAAUGGCAUCCAGACUCUAAAAGAUCCCGCAGAAUAGGACCCAACAGAGGUGUUGAACUUGACAUCAUCCCGCCUUCUCUCUUCUAGGAGUGAGCACACAAGGUCCCUUGACCAAAAGCUAAACCAACGGACAUUCAGUUUUGAAGGGUCACGGGACCUGCCGCUCCAAAAUAUGCCACCGGAGGAUAGCCGUUGUUUCGAGCCGCAGGCGCUUGAACAACAGCAAAGGCAAGGAAAGGCCUUCUCUGAACUCUCAUCUGCCUAAAGACGCAUCCUCCAGGAGCAAGUCAGUUGGUACAAAUUUCUGCCCAGGAAGUUCAUCCCCCGAGGAAGGUGGAGUCUUGUUCCAGGGCAGGACACUGUAGGCGGACCUCACACCCAGGCAAUCUCCAUCCCAAACCAUCUUUUUCCAGAAAUCAUUUACUCUCCCCGAAGAGGCCUGCCUCUUCCCUCCCCUUUUCCCUGUUAAGGUGGUUAUUUAAGCCUAAAUUGUAAGCCGCCUCUCUGAAUUACUCAUUUUCCCUGGGUGUCUCACGUUUAUGUAUGAGGGCUACAUGUUACUGAUAAACUUGUUUUUCUCUUAUUGGUCUUUUGGUCUUUUAUUGCAGGGGUCUCAGCCAAGAGCUCAGGAGGGUAGAGGGAAAUUCAUUUUUUCUCCUGUACAG